RNAcentral lists this long non-coding RNA (186 nucleotides) under Cyanistes caeruleus (blue tit). RNAcentral describes it as "lncRNA (ENSCCEG00000009797.1)". Lineage: Eukaryota; Metazoa; Chordata; Aves; Passeriformes; Paridae. The record is from RNAcentral.
AUGAAAGCUGACUUCAACCUGCUCCAUGGUUUGGAAGGCAGAAGGGAGAACAAGGAUACAGGGCUCAGGCUAGGUGAAGAUAAAGAGCAUUUGUUGAGGAGGAAGGAAGAUUCCACCUCCACAGCUCCAACUGUGAGGCCUCACCAAUAAACAGGUAGGUGCUGCCCUCCCCUAAGGACAUCCCCU